UCAGGCCUAACACAUGCAAGUCGAACGGGAUCUUCGGAUCUAGUGGCGGACGGGUGAGUAACGCGUGGGAACGUGCCCUUUGCUUCGGAAUAGCCCCUGGAAACGGGGAGUAAUACCGGAUGAGCCCUACGGGGGAAAGAUUAUCGGCGAAGGAUCGGCCCGCGUUGGAUUAGGUAGUUGGUGGGGUAAUGGCCUACCAAGCCGACGAUCCAUAGCUGGUUUGAGAGGAUGAUCAGCCACACUGGGACUGAGACACGGCCCAGACUCCUACGGGAGGCAGCAGUGGGGAAUCUUAGACAAUGGGGGAAACCCUGAUCUAGCCAUGCCGCGUAGUAAAGGAGGCCUUAGGGUUGUAAAGCUCUUCAGCUGGAAG
RNAcentral lists this ribosomal RNA (373 nucleotides) under uncultured bacterium. RNAcentral describes it as "bacterial SSU rRNA". It matches the Rfam family "Bacterial small subunit ribosomal RNA", at positions 42 to 446 of the family's 1533-position model. The record is from RNAcentral.